GAUGAACGCUGGCGGCGUGCCUAAUACAUGCAAGUCGAGCGAACGGACGAGAAGCUUGCUUCUCUGAUGUUAGCGGCGGACGGGUGAGUAACACGUGGAUAACCUACCUAUAAGACUGAGAUAACUUCGGGGAACCGGAGCUAAUACCGGAUAAUAUUUUGAACCGCAUGGUUCAAAAGUGAAAGACGGUCUUGCUGUCACUUAUAGAUGGAUCCGCGCUGCAUUAGCUAGUUGGUAAGGUAACGGCUUACCAAGGCAACGAUGCAUAGCCGACCUGAGAGGGUGAUCGGCCACACUGGAACUGAGACACGGUCCAGACUCCUACGGGAGGCAGCAGUAGGGAAUCUUCCGCAAUGGGCGAAAGCCUGACGGAGCAACGCCGCGUGAGUGAUGAAGGUCUUCGGAUCGUAAAACUCUGUUAUUAGGGAAGAACAUAUGUGUAAGUAACUGUGCACAUCUUGACGGUACCUAAUCAGAAAGCCACGGCUAACUACGUG
Molecule: ribosomal RNA, 497 nt
Filed under: uncultured bacterium
Lineage: Bacteria
Description: partial 16S ribosomal RNA
Rfam family: Bacterial small subunit ribosomal RNA
Source: RNAcentral